AUUGAACGCUGGCGGCAGGCCUAACACAUGCAAGUCGAGCGAGAGGCGGACAGGUGAGUAAUGUAUGGGGACUGCCCGUUAGCGGGGGAUAACUACUGGAAAAGGUAGCUAAUACCGCAUACUAUCGGAUAACCCAUAUGGGCGGAGCUCGUAGGUGCGGUAAUGGCUCACCUAGGCGACGAUCCCUAGCUGGGCUGCAAGGAUGAUCAGCCACACUGGGACUGAGACACGGCCCAGACUCCUACGGAGGCAGCAGUGGGGAAUAUUGCACAAUGGGCGCAAGCCUGAGACAGCCAUGCCGCGUGUAUGAAGAAGGCCCUAGGGUUGUAAAGUACUUUCAGUCGGGAGGCGUUACCGACAGAAGAAGCACCGGCUAACUCCGUGCCAGCAGCCGCGGUAAUAC
RNAcentral lists this ribosomal RNA (403 nucleotides) under uncultured bacterium. RNAcentral's name for it is "partial 16S ribosomal RNA". It matches the Rfam family "Bacterial small subunit ribosomal RNA", at positions 30 to 526 of the family's 1533-position model. The record is from RNAcentral.